CGAAAAAUCAAUAGUUUAACAAAAAUUAAACAAAUCACACUAAAUUCAACAAAGUUUACAUAAAUGGAUGCAUAUUACAAUGAUGGAUACAUAUAACAUAUGAAUAAACUACAUCCACCUGCAAAUUACAAUAUAAAAACUGAAAUUUUGCUAACUUUGCAAGUUCAUAUCUUAAUCAUGGCAUUGUUAGCUGUACAAAAAGCAACUGUAAGAGUAA
Molecule: unclassified non-coding RNA, 217 nt
Filed under: Hevea brasiliensis (rubber tree)
Lineage: Eukaryota; Viridiplantae; Streptophyta; Magnoliopsida; Malpighiales; Euphorbiaceae
Source: RNAcentral